GGUUAAGUGAAUAAGGGCGCACGGUGGAUGCCUUGGCACUAGGAGCCGAUGAAGGACGGGACUAACACCGAUAUGCUUUGGGGAGCUGUAAGUAAGCUAUGAUCCAGAGAUUUCCGAAUGGGGGAACCCAAUAUCUUUUAUAGGAUAUUACUUUUCAGUGAAUACAUAGCUGAUUAGAGGUAGACGCAGAGAACUGAAACAUCUUAGUACCUGCAGGAAGAGAAAGAAAAAUCGAUUCCCUGAGUAGCGGCGAGCGAAACGGGAAGAGCCCAAACCAACAAGCUUGCUUGUUGGGGUUGUAGGACUCC
RNAcentral lists this ribosomal RNA (308 nucleotides) under Enterococcus faecalis. RNAcentral describes it as "partial 23S ribosomal RNA". It matches the Rfam family "Bacterial large subunit ribosomal RNA", at positions 1 to 309 of the family's 2925-position model. The record is from RNAcentral. Lineage: Bacteria; Bacillati; Bacillota; Bacilli; Lactobacillales; Enterococcaceae.